RNAcentral lists this ribosomal RNA (469 nucleotides) under uncultured bacterium. Its description in RNAcentral is "partial 16S ribosomal RNA". It matches the Rfam family "Bacterial small subunit ribosomal RNA", at positions 28 to 507 of the family's 1533-position model. The record is from RNAcentral.
GACGAACGCUGGCGGCGUGCUUAACACAUGCAAGUCGAACGGAAAGGCCCUGCUUGCAGGGUGCUCGAGUGGCGAACGGGUGAGUAACACGUGGGUGAUUUGCCCCUUACUUUGGGUUAAGCCUGGGCAACUGGGUCUAAUACUGGCUAGGAACAUGAUGUAGGCGGUGUGGUGGAUAGAUUAGUUCGGGUUAGGGGUGAGAUCGGGGCCUAUCCGCUUGUCGGUGGGGUAUUGGUCUACUAAGGCGUCGCCGGGUCGCCGGCCAGAGAGGGUGGGCGGCGACAUUGAGACUCCGACGCGGCCCAGACGCCUACGAUAGGCAGCAGUGGGGAAUAGUUCACAAGAGGCGCAAGCCUGAAGCAACGACGCCGCUUGGAGGGUGACGGCCUUCGAGUUGGAAACACCUAUCGGCCAUGACGAAGCCCUUGUGGUGACGGUAGUGAUAGAAGAAGCACCGGCUAACUACGUG